ACCCUGGCUGCCGACGAACACCCUAGCAUUUGCCACUUGCUCCUCCAUCAUCUAAAUCUGUUUAUAUAUUCUAAGGUUUAUUUGACCAUUACACUUGAGAAAAUGGCCAAAGGGGAUGCUCAGAAGCUCUACUUCACUGUUCCAAUAUUUGAGACACAUCCUCCCUAGUACUUCAUCCACGCAAUUUCAGAUUCAUGGAUGCAUUCAGAGUGUUUCUAUACUAUGUCCUUCCGGAACCUCAUGCUCCCUGAGGCUCUUACAACUUAUAUGGAACUCCU
This is a long non-coding RNA of Salvia splendens (bonfire salvia), 278 nucleotides long. RefSeq lists it as uncharacterized. Lineage: Eukaryota; Viridiplantae; Streptophyta; Magnoliopsida; Lamiales; Lamiaceae. The record is from RefSeq and is a predicted model, not a curated record. The transcript has 3 exons.